This 317-nucleotide ribosomal RNA is filed under the name uncultured eukaryote. RNAcentral's name for it is "partial large subunit ribosomal RNA". It matches the Rfam family "Eukaryotic large subunit ribosomal RNA", at positions 40 to 350 of the family's 3401-position model. The record is from RNAcentral.
AUAUUAUUAAGCGGAGGAAAAGAAACUAACAAGGAUUCCCCUAGUAACGGCGAGUGAAGCGGGAAUAGCUCAAAGUUAAAAUCGGGGUUCUGAGAGGAGCUUCCGAAUUGUAAUCUAGAGACAUUAUGUCAGUUUCGACCCGGGUAUAAAUCUUUUGAAACAAGGUGUCAUAGAGGGUGAGAAUCCCGUCUUUGACCCGGAGUUCGGGACGUACGACUGGUGUUCCAAGAGUCGAAUAGCUUGGGAAUGCUGUUCUAAAUGGGUGGUAAAUUUCAUCUAAAGCUAAAUAUCGACAAGAGACCGAUAGCGCACAAGUA